ACAUACCUAAACGUUGCUUCGGCGGGAAUAGACGGCCCCGUGAAAACGGGCCGCCCCCGCCAGAGGACCCUUAACUUCUGUUUCUAUAAUGUUUCUUCUGAGUAAAACAAGCAAAUAAAUUAAAACUUUCAACAACGGAUCUCUUGGCUCUGGCAUCGAUGAAGAACGCAGCGAAAUGCGAUAAGUAAUGUGAAUUGCAGAAUUCAGUGAAUCAUCGAAUCUUUGAACGCACAUUGCGCCCGCCAGUAUUCUGGCGGGCAUGCCUGUUCGAGCGUCAUUACAACCCUCAGGCCCCCGGGCCUGGCGUUGGGGAUCGGCGGAGCCUCUCUGCGGGCACACGCCGUCCCCCAAAUACAGUGGCGGUCCCGCCGCAGCUUCCAUCGCGUAGUAGCUAACACCUCGCGACUUGGGGAGCGGCGCGGCCACGCCGUAAAACACCCAACUCUUCUGAAGUUGACCUCGAAUCAGGUAGGAAUACCCGC
This 482-nucleotide ribosomal RNA is filed under the name Fusarium sp. MX211. Its description in RNAcentral is "eukaryotic LSU rRNA". The stretch from base 124 to 277 matches the Rfam family "5.8S ribosomal RNA". The record is from RNAcentral. Lineage: Eukaryota; Fungi; Ascomycota; Sordariomycetes; Hypocreales; Nectriaceae.